This 301-nucleotide ribosomal RNA is filed under the name uncultured bacterium. RNAcentral describes it as "partial 16S ribosomal RNA". It matches the Rfam family "Bacterial small subunit ribosomal RNA", at positions 509 to 807 of the family's 1533-position model. The record is from RNAcentral.
CAGUCGCCGCGGUAAUACGGAGGGUGCAAGCGUUAUCCGGAUUUAUUGGGUUUAAAGGGUCCGUAGGCGGAUCUGUAAGUCAGUGGUGAAAUCUCACAGCUUAACUGUGAAACUGCCAUUGAUACUGCAGGUCUUGAGUAAAUUUGAAGUGGCUGGAAUAAGUAGUGUAGCGGUGAAAUGCAUAGAUAUUACUUAGAACACCAAUUGCGAAGGCAGGUCACUAAGAUUUAACUGACGCUGAUGGACGAAAGCGUGGGGAGCGAACAGGAUUAGAUACCCCUGUAGUCCCUGUCUCUUAUAC